RNAcentral lists this ribosomal RNA (468 nucleotides) under uncultured bacterium. Its description in RNAcentral is "partial 16S ribosomal RNA". It matches the Rfam family "Bacterial small subunit ribosomal RNA", at positions 28 to 507 of the family's 1533-position model. The record is from RNAcentral.
GACGAACGCUGGCGGCGUGCUUAACACAUGCAAGUCGAACGGAAAGGCCCUGCUUUUGUGGGAUGCUCGAGUGGCGAACGGGUGAGUAACACGUGAGUAACCUGCCCUUGACUUUGGGAUAACUUCAGGAAACUGGGGCUAAUACCGGAUAGGAGCUCCUGCUGCAUGGUGGGGGUUGGAAAGUUUCGGCGGUUGGGGAUGGACUCGCGGCUUAUCAGCUUGUUGGUGGGGUGGUGGCUUACCAAGGCUUUGACGGGUAGCCGGCCUGAGAGGGUGACCGGCCACAUUGGGACUGAGAUACGGCCCAGACUCCUACGGGAGGCAGCAGUGGGGAAUAUUGCACAAUGGGCGGAAGCCUGAUGCAGCAACGCCGCGUGCGGGAUGACGGCCUUCGGGUUGUAAACCGCUUUCGCCUGUGACGAAGCGUGAGUGACGGUAAUGGGUAAAGAAGCACCGGCUAACUACGUG